CAAAAUUAAAAGUUCAAUACUAAAUUUUUAUAAAACUUAAUAUUUAGGCUCUUUAAUUUAAAUUCUAGCUAUUUACAGUAUUUUCCUCAAUGUUUAUAUUAAAAUAACAUUGUAAUGUAUCUUGAUCGAUCAUGGAUUCGGAACGUUCUAGAAAUUUGACAUAUUCUGAGUGAAACGAAACACACAGGUGACGUUCAGAAACUUGCUUGUUUGUUAUUUUUUUUCUUUCUAAAGUUUAAUUAUUUAAUUAAAUUUAAAUGAGAGAAGCAGUAUUGUGAGUUCCCAUAUCGAAAUUAUUCAAUAAGAGGCUAGUUAACACAAGUGGCAUUUAUUGAAAGUAAAGAAAAAAAAUUAUACAAAACUGCUAGAUAUUGUGAUUUGUUGGAGUGACAAGUUUUCGAACGAACAUCUGAGUCACGGGUGAUGACCGGCGCUUUUUGGAGGGUGGAAGUCUUUUGCUUGGUUGGGGUGAUCGCGAACGGAAGUUCUGUUGUACGUGGUGUGAUAGUGUCCCGAAUUCCAAGAGGUCUGAACCGUGCCGUUCCCUGAUAAACGGGCAGGGCACGCAUCGCCAUCCUCUACGUUAAAAGGGAAUUUUAGAAUAAAUCCGAAAGCCCCGUGAUUUUGUGGACUCAUUGCCACGUGCUGAGUUCUGUUACUGAAGAUUUUGGUUGGACAGUGCUCGGUGGCGAGCUCUGCGCUGUGUCCUGCUUUAGCGGCUGUCGCCGGAUUUUUCCUCCGUUGAAGGUGACGAUGGUGCCUGAGAGUCGUUCCCCGACCAUGACUGGCCGAUAUGUACACUACCGAGGCCGUCCACCACGGUCCAGGGCUACCCUACUUCAUAGGAGGUGUUUGGCACCGGCUGUCCCGCAGUGCCAGACGCUUGCUGCGCCCGACGGGUGCGGAGGGGGUUGAGCCGAGUGGUGGCGACUAGCGCGCUAGUAAUCUUAAGUAUUUUUAAUCAGUACCAACCAAACGGCCCAACGACCCAUCCCUUAAUUUUUCUUUUAAAUAUUUGUGUCUAACCCA
Ostrinia nubilalis (European corn borer) is the source of this 1029-nucleotide long non-coding RNA. RefSeq lists it as uncharacterized. Lineage: Eukaryota; Metazoa; Arthropoda; Insecta; Lepidoptera; Crambidae. The transcript is spliced from 4 exons. The record is from RefSeq and is a predicted model, not a curated record.